GGGAAUGUGGCUUAGUGGUAGAGUGCUUGCCUAGCAUGCAUGAAGCCCUGGAUUCAUUUCCU
RNAcentral lists this transfer RNA (62 nucleotides) under Dipodomys ordii (Ord's kangaroo rat). It matches the Rfam family "tRNA". Rfam says of the family: Transfer RNA (tRNA) molecules are approximately 80 nucleotides in length. Their secondary structure includes four short double-helical elements and three loops (D, anti-codon, and T loops). The record is from Rfam by way of RNAcentral. Lineage: Eukaryota; Metazoa; Chordata; Mammalia; Rodentia; Heteromyidae.